This 112-nucleotide transfer RNA is filed under the name groundwater metagenome. RNAcentral describes it as "tRNA-Tyr". It matches the Rfam family "tRNA". Rfam says of the family: Transfer RNA (tRNA) molecules are approximately 80 nucleotides in length. Their secondary structure includes four short double-helical elements and three loops (D, anti-codon, and T loops). The record is from RNAcentral.
CCCGCCUUAACUCAGUGGCUAGAGUGCGCGGCUGUAGUAUGGAUUAUGUGCGAUAUGCACACAUUAACGCGCAGGCACCGCGAAGUCCCCGGUUCGAGUCUGGGAGGCGGGA